UGGUUUGACCCGGAAACAGGAUUUCUGGGAUGCUGUGUGGAUGGGGCCAAUGAGUGCUCAGAUUUGAAUAUUGCCAUCUGGCCCAACCACUGGGCAAUGGGAUCCACCUCCGAGAACACAGGGUAAAAGCAGGGCUCUCCCCCUGGCAGUUGCUCUUUGGAUUUCCGGCGGUGAAGGAGUUGAGUCUCUCCCCCGGCCCAGUUGCUGGCUGGGCUGGGGGAGGGGAAAAGCCAUGCGGCCCGGCCCGGGAGAGAAAACUUACUGCGAUCUGAUUUUGGAUGUCCAGCUUCUGUAAUACGUUCAAGGACCAGAUUUCCCAAGAGUCAUCAUGUGUAACAGGACUGGUUAUCUAAAAUCUGUAAUAUUUUCUUAAAAUCUUGGGUUUUUGAAGUAAACGUUAGGGAUUUUAAAACA
Molecule: non-coding RNA, 414 nt
Organism: Zonotrichia albicollis (white-throated sparrow)
Lineage: Eukaryota; Metazoa; Chordata; Aves; Passeriformes; Passerellidae
Source: RefSeq, a predicted model, not a curated record